RNA transcript from Dendrobium catenatum, 2283 nucleotides. RefSeq lists it as uncharacterized. Lineage: Eukaryota; Viridiplantae; Streptophyta; Magnoliopsida; Asparagales; Orchidaceae. The transcript has 2 exons. The record is from RefSeq and is a predicted model, not a curated record.
AUUAAAUCCCAUGCGAUUAUUUUUUUCGCUUCAGCAAAUCGCACAAUUUUCUUUCUUGGUUUUUUUCCUUUUUAGAGAAAGGAUUUUAGGUUUACGAAUCACCACCUGCUGCUUAUUUUUUUUUUACCGAGAUUCGGUUUUAUUUGUGAAGGAAGCCUUUGAAAUCGAGAAGUCGCUCUCUCCUUAGCGAGAUCGGUUUUAUUGGCGGACAUUGCUCCGCCUUAGCGCGGUUAGGGUUCUAUUUGGGAAGAUUUUUUUGCUGCAAGAAUUCCGGAUUCUUGUGGUGAUUUAAUGCUGUAUGAUUUCCACAUUAAGGUCAUUGCAGCUUCCAGUGGGUACAUCGAGGGCUUGGCUUUGGGGACUGCUUGAUCUGCGAGGUUGUGUGGAUUGAAAGCUGGUGUUGCUGGAGAUUUGAGCUGAAGAUAUAUGCAUUUUGUUCUUGGGGUUUUGUUGAGGUACUUCGAUGGUCAGAAUCGUGCUUUUAUGUUUCCUACCUGUCACUUUCCUACUGAUUCAGCAAAAUGUGGCAAACGUGGGAAUCUUCACAUGAAUGUUCUGUAAAGUGCAAGCCGACGGUCCCUUGACUGACGCUUUCUUCGCAUCGCCAUUUUCGUUCUUGUAUUCCCAGUUAGAAGAUCUUGAAUAUAUUUUGUCCUAGAUCUCUUUAGUUGGUUGGUUGAAGGGAUCUAGGGCAAAUUCAGUUUUACAGAAGCUUUGUGAUCGUCAUUGCUCUCGGAAAUUAUGGAAAUUAUUAGCCACAUUCAUCAUAUUGCUAGGAGUUUUACACUUGUUGUGCUUUUCUUAGCAUGGAACUGUAAAGCUGAAACUCCCAGUGGUUAUUCUAACGCAGCAAGACAAUUGGAUUUACUUCUUCAAGAUUAUGCAUAUCGUGCUUUUGACCGCCCACACACUGGAAUCCCUUAUGAUGGUGCCGUCCCUUCUAAUCUUACUGGCAUCAAAGUAGCCGUGCUAAGGCUCAGGUGUGGAAGUUUGAGAACUAGAGGAUUCCACCGCUACAAAGAGUUUGAUAUCCCUACCGGUGUAAUUGUUCAACCCUAUGUGAAAAGGCUUGCAUUUGUCUACCAAAAUUUGGGAAACUGGUCAUCUUUCUAUUAUCCACUUCAGGGCUACACCUAUCUUGCUCCAGUUCUAGGGCUUCUUGCUUAUAGUGCUGCCAAUUUAUCUGCCAUUGGUUUGUCUGAGCUUGAUAUCAUGGCUUCAAGUUCACCCAUAUCGAUCAAAUUCAAUGAUGUGAACCCUGUACCAAGUGUAAUCCCAGCAAAGUGUGUGAAGUUUCAUUUAAAUGGUACAAUAGAGUUCACAGAUCUUAUCUCAGGCAAUGUUUGCAUGACAUUUCGUCAGGGGCACUUCUCCAUUGUGGUUAAUUCUUCCGGGAUUGUUCUGUCUCCUGCUCCAGCUCCUACACCUAUCCCUAGUCAUGGUAAAGGGCACAAAUCCAAGGUUUGGAAGAUUGUUGUUUCUGUAGUUGGUGGGCUUGUUGGAUUGCUUUUGUUGAUUUUGUUAGUAGCUUGGCUGGCAUCAUAUAGAAAGAAAAAGAAGUUGGCGGAGAUGCAAAGAAGGGAAGAAGUGGGUGAGGUUUUGCAGAUGGGGCUAGUUGGGAACACCCGGAUACCAGUUGCCCCGAUGACCCGAACAAAGCCUGCUAUUGAGAAUGAUUAUGUGCCAUGAGUUUUGAUUAGUUGGUAUUUGAUGGUAUGGAAAAACAGCCUGUGGGGUUUCUCUCAUCAAAGGUAUUUGAAGUGUACAGUCCUGAAGAGAUGAAAUUUGUUGUGUUCUUCAAGUGUUUGAUAUGGAUUCAGUUCAUUACUUGGCCCUCAUUUGAUAUCAAUAUGUGCAUUCUUCUAGGAGUUAGUCCAUUUUCAUAAUUUGGUUGUUCCAGUCCUGAUAAAUGCAUUGAUGCUACCUUGUGGGAUUCCGGAUGCUCGAUGGAAAAGAUGUUUCCUUCAGUGAUCAGAUAAAAUAUUUCAUUGCUUGUUGAAGCCAUCAAAUCAUCAUCAUCGGUCGCUAGCAUCGACCUUGGACUAGGCAAGCCCAUUCCCACAGAUGGAAUUGUUCGAUCGCUUUUUGAAAGGAGGGAAUGAUUUAGAUCAUCUUAUUCAGGUCAUUCAUCUGGCAGAUUUCAGUAUAACUAGCGAAAUGCUCAACCCAAAAUUUUUAAUUAAUUGUAUUUACACCCAUUAUGGGUAUAUUUCAACAAGGAGAAAUCUUAUAUUUGUAGGAUUAUUUUUGAGCUUUGAUCCCCAUUUGGAGUUUCUAAUCGAU